RNAcentral lists this ribosomal RNA (377 nucleotides) under uncultured bacterium. Its description in RNAcentral is "partial 16S ribosomal RNA". It matches the Rfam family "Bacterial small subunit ribosomal RNA", at positions 338 to 732 of the family's 1533-position model. The record is from RNAcentral.
CCUACGGGUGGCAGCAGUGGGGAAUAUUGCACAAUGGGGGGAACCCUGAUGCAGCGACGCCGCGUGGGUGAAGAAGCGCCUCGGCGCGUAAAGCCCUGUCAGCAGGGAAGAAAAGGCCGGUACCUGAAGAAGAAGCCCCGGCUAACUACGUGCCAGCAGCCGCGGUAAUACGGCGGGGGCACGCGUUCUCCGGAUUUACUGGGUGUAAAGGGGGCGCAGACGGCAUUGCAAGCCAGGAGUGAAAGCCCGGGGCCCAACCCCGGGACUGCUCUUGAAACUGCGUGGCUGGAGUGUAGGAGGGGCAGGCGGAAUUCCUGGUGUAGCGGUGAAAUGCGUAGAUAUCAGGAGGAACACCGGUGGCGAAGGCGGCCUUCUGG